Molecule: ribosomal RNA, 253 nt
Filed under: uncultured bacterium
Lineage: Bacteria
Description: partial 16S ribosomal RNA
Rfam family: Bacterial small subunit ribosomal RNA
Source: RNAcentral
UACGGAGGGAGCUAGCGUUGUUCGGAAUUACUGGGCGUAAAGGGCGCGUAGGCGGCCCGCUAAGUCGAACGUGAAAUCCCUGGGCUCAACCCAGGAACUGCGUCCGAUACUGGCAGGCUUGAAUCCGGGAGAGGGAUGUGGAAUUCCAGGUGUAGCGGUGAAAUGCGUAGAUAUCUGGAGGAACACCGGUGGCGAAGGCGGCAUCCUGGACCGGCAUUGACGCUGAGGAGCGAAAGCCAGGGGAGCAAACGGG